CUCGGAGUUUGAUCCUGGCUCAGAUUGAACGCUGGCGGAAUGCUUUACACAUGCAAGUCGAACGGUAGAGGGGGCAACCCCUUGAGAGUGGCGAACGGGUGAGUAAUAUAUCGGAACGUGUCCAGUCGUGGGGGAUAACGUAGCGAAAGUUACGCGUAAUACCGCAUACGAUCUAAGGAUGAAAGCGGGGAUCGCAAGACCUCGCGCGGAUUGGAGCGGCCGAUAUCAGAUUAGGUAGUUGGUAAGGGUAAAGGCCUACUAAGCCAACGAGUCUGUAGCUGGUCUGAGAGGACGACCAGCCACGACUGGAACUGAGACACGGUCCAGACUCCGUACGGAGGCAGCGAGUGGGGAAUUUGACAAGUGACGCAAGUCUGAUCCGAGCCAUUCCCGCGUGCAGG
Molecule: ribosomal RNA, 401 nt
Filed under: uncultured Comamonadaceae bacterium
Lineage: Bacteria; Pseudomonadati; Pseudomonadota; Betaproteobacteria; Burkholderiales; Comamonadaceae
Description: bacterial SSU rRNA
Rfam family: Bacterial small subunit ribosomal RNA
Source: RNAcentral